Molecule: ribosomal RNA, 272 nt
Filed under: uncultured bacterium
Lineage: Bacteria
Description: partial 16S ribosomal RNA
Rfam family: Bacterial small subunit ribosomal RNA
Source: RNAcentral
AUGAACGCUGGCGGCGUGCCUAAUACAUGCAAGUCGAGCGAACAGACGAGGAGCUUGCUCCUCUAACGUUAGCGGCGGACGGGUGAGUAACACGUGGAUAACCUACCUAUAAGACUGGGAUAACUUCGGGAAACCGGAGCUAAUACCGGAUAAUAUAUUGAACCGCAUGGGUUCAAUAGUGAAAGACGGUUUUGCUGUCACUUAUAGAUGGAUCCGCGCCGCAUUAGCUAGUUGGUAAGGUAACGGCUUACCAAGGCAACGAUGCGUAGCUG